Acanthosepion pharaonis is the source of this 117-nucleotide non-coding RNA. The record is from the annotation of a GenBank genome assembly. Lineage: Eukaryota; Metazoa; Mollusca; Cephalopoda; Sepiida; Sepiidae.
UUACGGUCAAAUCACGCUGAAAACACCGGUUCUCGUUCGAUCACCGAAGUUAAGCAUCGUAGAGCCAGGUCAGUACUUAGAUGGGGGGGACCGCUUGGGAACACCUGGUACUGUAAG